UUCCGGUUGAUCCUGCCAGAGGUCACUGCUAUCGGGGUUCGAUUAAGCCAUGCGAGUCGAGAGGGUUCGGCCCUCGGCGUACUGCUCAGUAACACGUGGAUAACCUGCCCUAGGGGAGGGGAUAACCCCGGGAAACUGGGGAUAAUACCCUAUAGGUUACAGAUGCUGGAAUGCCCUGUAACCAAAAGCUCCGGCGCCCUAGGAUGGAUCUGCGGCCGAUUAGGUUGUUGUUGGGGUAACGGCCCAACAAGCCCGUAAUCGGUACGGGUUGUGGGAGCAAGAGCCCGGAGUUGGAUUCUGAGACUCCAAUCCAGGCCCUACGGGGCGCAGCAGGCGCGAAACCUUUACAAUGCGGGCAACCGUGAUAAGGGAACCUCGAGUGCCUGAAAACGCAGGCUGUUCAUGUGUUUAAAACGCACCUGGAUAAAGGGCCGGGAAAGACCGGUGCCACCCGCCGCGGUAAUACCGGCGGCUCUUGUGGUGGCCGCUUUUAUUGGGGGAUUGGUUUUAUCUAAUUGUUAAAUGCCUUCGGAUUCUCGUGGCUUAUCCGU
This 551-nucleotide ribosomal RNA is filed under the name uncultured archaeon. RNAcentral describes it as "bacterial SSU rRNA". It matches the Rfam family "Archaeal small subunit ribosomal RNA", at positions 1 to 566 of the family's 1478-position model. The record is from RNAcentral.